UUACCUCAUAUUUGUAUGGAAUGGGAUCGUUUGCCUACAUUUGCCGUUAGGGGCGCUGUUCCAACUGCAUACAAAAUUGGGUUA
Molecule: microRNA precursor, 84 nt
Filed under: Bombyx mori (domestic silkworm)
Lineage: Eukaryota; Metazoa; Arthropoda; Insecta; Lepidoptera; Bombycidae
Description: mir-2807 microRNA precursor family
Rfam family: mir-2807 microRNA precursor family
Source: Rfam by way of RNAcentral